UUUCUCCUUCCUCCAACCUCGAGAGAUUUAAACAAAUUCAGUGCACAUAAUUUCCUAUAAAUGCCACUGAGAAUUCUCCUCCCAACACAGGAGCAUCGCCUGUAAGACAGAGAGGGAGAUCUGUGUGUCACAAUGGGAGCUAUUGUAGCAUUAGCAAUGUUUCUGGGGACUUUAUAUUAUGGUCACUGUGUUGAACUCACACAGCCAGGCUUUAUGGUUAUAAAACCAGGACAGUCUCUGAUCAUCUCCUGUAAAGUCUCUGGGUAUUCCCUGACUGAUAGCAGCUAUGCUACACACUGGAUCAGACAGCCUGCAGGGAAAGCUCUGGAGUGGGUGGCAGGUAUAGGAUGGAAUGGAGACACUGCUUAUAAAGAUUCACUAAAGAGCAAAUUCAUCAUCACCAGAGACACCUCCAGCAGCACAGUGACUUUGCAGGGGAGCAGCCUGCAGACUGGAGACACAGCUGUGUAUUACUGUGCCCGAUACCCACAGUGCAGCAAAGCAACACUAGAGCUGUACAAAAACACAUCACACUGAGUGUCAUCACUGAACACACACACACUCUACCUGCAUGUAGCGCUCACUGGCCUCAUAUUCACCAUUAUAUAAUUAUGGAAUUGCAAGUUUAAUAAAUUAGUUUUUCAUUUUAUGUUCUUGUGGCAGAGCUUGGUUUGCGGGAGGAAUUCAGGGCAGUUAGAGGACCAUGCCUACUGGUUAAGUAGGCACACACCUGGAUUGUGUUACGAAUCAGUCUAGGAUUUAAAAGUGUGCUUCUUUCCACAGCAGGCGUCUGAGACCGGGGAUCCCCCACGAUGGUGAGAGAGAGCCCGUCAAGGCAUAAAUGGCCUGAAAAGCGACAGUUUAUGAUUUCAUUUAUUUUGCCUUUGUUGUUUUAGUUUAUUGUUUUUGCACAAAUCCCGUGAGGUUGACGGGCAAAGGUUUUUUCUUUUAUGUUAUGUGAAUGAACAAGCUCUCUCUCUCGCUAAUCAAAAUAAAAAUCCGCAGUUGUCUGGAAUUUCCGCAUCUUCCUGUGUCCAGCUCUUCUGUGCCUACCAGGGGGGUCAUGGCGUGUUCUAAAUAUCCCUUCUUUCAUAAGCAUUAAAAGAAGAUAAAGACACAAAAGACACAUUGAACUGAGGCCUGGAUUCGGUCAACAUUUGUCGUUCUUUUCAAUUUAAAUGCCAGCGUUUGUUUAUUCUUCACAAACUGUAAUGUGUUUGGUAAGUUA
Molecule: long non-coding RNA, 1228 nt
Organism: Anguilla rostrata (American eel)
Lineage: Eukaryota; Metazoa; Chordata; Actinopteri; Anguilliformes; Anguillidae
Exons: 2
Source: RefSeq, a predicted model, not a curated record